CUCAACGCCCCCCCUUCCCACUCAUGGCAGCUAAUAAAGUUGAUAACUCGAGCACCAAAACACCGUCCGUGCAACUUGCUUCGACGACCAGAUGGAGCUGUUUCUGACUUUUCGGAGCUUGGGUUAAUCUCGCGGAGCAGUCUAAAAUGCAACCCAACUCACCUGCUGCGCUCUUCGUCCUCUUGACCAGCUGACUGCAUUUCCUAAAAGGACAGACCAUGGUCUCGAUAGAGCGGCAAAAUUAAAUUUCCAGAGCAGAACAUCCGCAACCUGGAGAGCUACUAAUGAAUGCGAGACUGAUGAUCAGUGAAGCAAACAGCUAAUUGAUCCAGGUGGACGACGAACUGUUGACACGGCUUCAAGCUCCAUGCACGUGAAUAGACAGUCAACUGACAAGGCUACCAAAUCUACAAAAAACUGUUGAGAUAAUACAAUGGAACCUUCAAAAUGAAACCCCAUAAAAAAAAAUUAAAAAAGCGACGCAUGAAGAGGGAGAUCGCUUUGUGUGCCUGGGAGCAGGGUACAACCUCGAGGAUGUAGGACAAUAAAGCAAAGACCACCAGGACGGAUUGAGCCAACAGCUUCACAGGAUGCCCGUGGUGCCUUUGGAAGGAAUGAACAAAGACACAAAAGGAAACCCGGCGAGAAAGCCUCGCUCGGCUGGAAGUCUGCAAUCACUACCGUGGCCAGCUUGGAAUGACAAAAUAAAGCAGAGCAGAGAUUUGGUUUGAACGAUCCAGGGAUGGAGAAGCAGGAAAUUGUGGAGGGCAGAACUCGUACAAUUAGGGAGGUUUUAUAAUAAUUCAAAUGCGGACAAUUCAGGUCAGACAAAUUUGUUUUUAUUUAUUGUAUCAACAUUUUGUGUGUCCGUGUGUGUGCGUGUGACCGAGAAUGCCUGAAAUUGAGGAAAAUUCAGAUCUGCUGAUAGUAGUGGAAUCCUACACUACCUUGGUUACUACUGCCCUCAUGUGGAUGUACAUGGUACUACAAAGCCCGGUUCUUGACUACUACUCCGAUUUUUAAAUUUAAAUUAAUCAAACGUAUUUUAUUUCAUGGCAGUCUUUUAACCUGCACACAUUUUUAGCGAGUUUUCUGGUUAUUACAGGAAUACUGUAUACUGCUCUAACUUGCCUAUCGUGUUUAUCUGAGUUUGAAUAAUUUAUACGUGCUCUGUGGUUGCCUGGCGACCAGUUUAGGGUGUACCCCGACUCACACUUUUUGUUGUUGUUUGUUUCUUCAGUAUUUACUGUAUUUCAUUUUGUAAUUUUCUUUCACUUUCAAAAGGACAAGAUCAGUUUGUUUUAUCAGUGCUUCAAUUCAGUGUGUAAAGCAACAUGAAAUAUUCUUGGAAUAAUUCAUAGGCAAUAAUCACAAUUCUAAAUCUUACUGAACUAAAUCUGGACAGGAUACGACGUUUAUCCGAGUGAGCCGCAUACGUAACAUGCAUGACUCUGUUAAAUUUGCAACUAAUGAUGAAAAGCAAGUAUAAUCCAAUGAACAUCUUCAAACGCGUCUAUCAUUUUUUUUGUAGUUACUAACAAGAAGUACCUUCUUCUCCUUUACAACCUCUUUCCGCAACCUCUUUCCCUCAGGCAGCAUGCCCCCGAUUCGGAUUUUUUGUCCCGGUUUGAAGAACAAACUGCUACUAUUUUGAUGUGAGCUGAAUGUGGAACAAGAGAAGCCAGCUCGUUUUUAAUUUUGUACAGUAGCACGGAAUGUUGAAUACAUGACAUUAAAA
Syngnathus acus (greater pipefish) is the source of this 1738-nucleotide long non-coding RNA. RefSeq lists it as uncharacterized. The record is from RefSeq and is a predicted model, not a curated record. The transcript has 6 exons. Lineage: Eukaryota; Metazoa; Chordata; Actinopteri; Syngnathiformes; Syngnathidae.